Molecule: ribosomal RNA, 2906 nt
Filed under: Klebsiella michiganensis
Lineage: Bacteria; Pseudomonadati; Pseudomonadota; Gammaproteobacteria; Enterobacterales; Enterobacteriaceae
Description: 23S ribosomal RNA
Rfam family: Bacterial large subunit ribosomal RNA
Source: RNAcentral
GGUUAAGCGACUAAGCGUACACGGUGGAUGCCCUGGCAGUCAGAGGCGAUGAAGGACGUGCUAAUCUGCGAAAAGCGUCGGUAAGGUGAUAUGAACCGUUAUAGCCGGCGAUGUCCGAAUGGGGAAACCCAGUGCAAUUCGUUGCACUAUCGUUAACUGAAUACAUAGGUUAACGAGGCGAACCGGGGGAACUGAAACAUCUAAGUACCCCGAGGAAAAGAAAUCAACCGAGAUUCCCCCAGUAGCGGCGAGCGAACGGGGAGCAGCCCGGAGUCUGAAUCAGCUUGUGUGUUAGUGGAAGCGUCUGGAAAGUCGCAGGGUACAGGGUGAUACUCCCGUACACUAAAACGCACAGGUUGUGAACUCGAAGAGUAGGGCGGGACACGUGGUAUCCUGUCUGAAUAUGGGGGGACCAUCCUCCAAGGCUAAAUACUCCUGACUGACCGAUAGUGAACCAGUACCGUGAGGGAAAGGCGAAAAGAACCCCGGCGAGGGGAGUGAAAAAGAACCUGAAACCGUGUACGUACAAGCAGUAGGAGCCCACUUGUUGGGUGACUGCGUACCUUUUGUAUAAUGGGUCAGCGACUUAUAUUCUGUAGCAAGGUUAACCGUAUAGGGGAGCCGCAGGGAAACCGAGUCUUAACUGGGCGUUAAGUUGCAGGGUAUAGACCCGAAACCCGGUGAUCUAGCCAUGGGCAGGUUGAAGGUUGGGUAACACUAACUGGAGGACCGAACCGACUAAUGUUGAAAAAUUAGCGGAUGACUUGUGGCUGGGGGUGAAAGGCCAAUCAAACCGGGAGAUAGCUGGUUCUCCCCGAAAGCUAUUUAGGUAGCGCCUCGUGAACUCAUCUUCGGGGGUAGAGCACUGUUUCGGCUAGGGGGUCAUCCCGACUUACCAACCCGAUGCAAACUACGAAUACCGAAGAAUGUUAUCACGGGAGACACACGGCGGGUGCUAACGUCCGUCGUGAAGAGGGAAACAACCCAGACCGCCAGCUAAGGUCCCAAAGUCAUGGUUAAGUGGGAAACGAUGUGGGAAGGCCCAGACAGCCAGGAUGUUGGCUUAGAAGCAGCCAUCAUUUAAAGAAAGCGUAAUAGCUCACUGGUCGAGUCGGCCUGCGCGGAAGAUGUAACGGGGCUAAACCAUGCACCGAAGCUGCGGCAGCGACACUAUGUGUUGUUGGGUAGGGGAGCGUUCUGUAAGCCGUUGAAGGUGGCCUGUGAGGGUUGCUGGAGGUAUCAGAAGUGCGAAUGCUGACAUAAGUAACGAUAAUGCGGGUGAAAAACCCGCACGCCGGAAGACCAAGGGUUCCUGUCCAACGUUAAUCGGGGCAGGGUGAGUCGACCCCUAAGGCGAGGCCGAAAGGCGUAGUCGAUGGGAAACAGGUUAAUAUUCCUGUACUCGGUGUUACUGCGAAGGGGGGACGGAGAAGGCUAUGUUGGCCGGGCGACGGUUGUCCCGGUUUAAGCAUGUAGGCGGAUGUUCCAGGUAAAUCCGGAACGUUACUAACGCUGAGGUGUGAUGACGAGGCACUACGGUGCUGAAGUGACAAAUGCCCUGCUUCCAGGAAAAGCCUCUAAGCAUCAGGUAACAUCAAAUCGUACCCCAAACCGACACAGGUGGUCAGGUAGAGAAUACCAAGGCGCUUGAGAGAACUCGGGUGAAGGAACUAGGCAAAAUGGUGCCGUAACUUCGGGAGAAGGCACGCUGAUGGUAGGUGAAGUGACUUGCUCAUGGAGCUGAAAUCAGUCGAAGAUACCAGCUGGCUGCAACUGUUUAUUAAAAACACAGCACUGUGCAAACACGAAAGUGGACGUAUACGGUGUGACGCCUGCCCGGUGCCGGAAGGUUAAUUGAUGGGGUUAUCCGUAAGGAGAAGCUCUUGAUCGAAGCCCCGGUAAACGGCGGCCGUAACUAUAACGGUCCUAAGGUAGCGAAAUUCCUUGUCGGGUAAGUUCCGACCUGCACGAAUGGCGUAAUGAUGGCCAGGCUGUCUCCACCCGAGACUCAGUGAAAUUGAACUCGCUGUGAAGAUGCAGUGUACCCGCGGCAAGACGGAAAGACCCCGUGAACCUUUACUAUAGCUUGACACUGAACACUGGUCCUUGAUGUGUAGGAUAGGUGGGAGGCUUUGAAGUGUGGACGCCAGUCUGCAUGGAGCCAUCCUUGAAAUACCACCCUUUAAUGGCUGGUGUUCUAACGUGGGCCCGUAAUCCGGGUUGCGGACAGUGUCUGGUGGGUAGUUUGACUGGGGCGGUCUCCUCCUAAAGAGUAACGGAGGAGCACGAAGGUCAGCUAAUCCUGGUCGGACAUCAGGAGGUUAGUGCAAUGGCAUAAGCUGGCUUGACUGCGAGCGUGACGGCGCGAGCAGGUGCGAAAGCAGGUCAUAGUGAUCCGGUGGUUCUGAAUGGAAGGGCCAUCGCUCAACGGAUAAAAGGUACUCCGGGGAUAACAGGCUGAUACCGCCCAAGAGUUCAUAUCGACGGCGGUGUUUGGCACCUCGAUGUCGGCUCAUCACAUCCUGGGGCUGAAGUAGGUCCCAAGGGUAUGGCUGUUCGCCAUUUAAAGUGGUACGCGAGCUGGGUUUAGAACGUCGUGAGACAGUUCGGUCCCUAUCUGCCGUGGGCGCUGGAGAAUUGAGGGGGGCUGCUCCUAGUACGAGAGGACCGGAGUGGACGCAUCACUGGUGUUCGGGUUGUCAUGCCAAUGGCAUUGCCCGGUAGCUAAAUGCGGAAGAGAUAAGUGCUGAAAGCAUCUAAGCACGAAACUUGCCCCGAGAUGAGUUCUCCCUGACUCCUUGAGAGUCCUGAAGGAACGUUGAAGACGACGACGUUGAUAGGCCGGGUGUGUAAGCGCAGCGAUGCGUUGAGCUAACCGGUACUAAUGAACCGUGAGGCUUAACCUU